This 72-nucleotide transfer RNA is filed under the name Desmophyllum pertusum. RNAcentral's name for it is "Lophelia pertusa tRNA". It matches the Rfam family "tRNA". Rfam says of the family: Transfer RNA (tRNA) molecules are approximately 80 nucleotides in length. Their secondary structure includes four short double-helical elements and three loops (D, anti-codon, and T loops). Lineage: Eukaryota; Metazoa; Cnidaria; Anthozoa; Scleractinia; Caryophylliidae. The record is from Rfam by way of RNAcentral.
UCUCCUUUAGCUCAGUGAUAGAGCAUCCUUCCGGUGUGCGAAAGGUCAUAGGUUCGACUCCUAUUGGGAGAA